UAGAACGUCAACCCUAAACUUCGCUCGUCCUCGAUCGAAAAAGUAUGUUCCGAGAUACCUAAGCCAGGAUGAUUAACGACGAAGUGGUCGAAGAGGUCCUGAGGGGAGAACUGCAGGCGGCCAAAUGGGCAAUUCCUAGGACCCUCAAGAUAUUCAUUUCUUCGGCGAGAGACGAAUUUAUUGAAGAAAGAAGAAUCCUUUUAGAAAAUGUGGGUCCAGACCUUCAAACGCACUAUGACUCCACAGGGCUCGAGGUCGAGCUCGUCGAUAUGCAUUAUGGAACAGAAAACGACCCACUGUCUCACCCGUUUCAAUACGAGGAUCUCAUUCAGGAAAUAAGGGAAUGUCACAAAAUAUCCAGAGGGUGCUUUUAUCUGUGUCUUGUCGGAGAUGAAGUGACGGAAAGCCCGCUCCCGGUCCUGCUCACGGAAGACGAACACGUCCAGCUAACGGGGAAAGCGAGAGAUAUGGGCAUCGAUCCUGCUCCAGUUAAUUCGUGCUACCGUCCAGUCCCAGGCUACGGUUACAGACUGCAGAACACGAGUGAGGAAGAGAUGAAAUCAGCUUUAGAAGUCUUGAAACCAGCAGCUCGGAAAUUAAAAUCUCAAGGUGUCGAGACUAACCGACAGCUCAUGAAUUCAUCAGUGGAGCAUCAGUUCAACGUUGCCGCAGAAUUAAGCACCGAGCACAUGGUGGCAGUCAUAAGGAGUUUCGAAGACUGCCCUUCCCCGUUGGAUAAUCCCGAGAUGGAAGCUUUCAAGAUUAGCAUCGCCGAAAAUUUACCCGAGGACAACAUUAUAAAAUUAACGGUACCUUGGGCAAACGAGGGGAAACUAGACCCGGACUGUUCCAAGCAUGACACGUACCUCACUAUAUUUCAAGAAACGGUCUACUCCAGGCUCCAGGACAUGAUCAAUAAAAAUAUCGAAGAAAAACCAGAAAUCAACGCGAGAAAUAAAGCUAUUCAGGAGGUUUUUAAAGAAGCGCUGAUUCAUCUAGCCCUAAGCAAACAAAUCCUAGACGAAGUCGUCGAGGUGACGAAGUUGAAAGGCACCAUCGACCACGUAAAAUCUUUGAUGAUGAACGCCCCUUCACGGCACGGCCCCAUCAUCCUUCUCGGUUCUCACGGAUCCGGAAAGACAUCUGUUCUAACCAGGAUUUACAGUGAAUGCGAAGAAUGGUUCGGGAAUAAGGUUCUGAGGGUUCUGCGCUUUUCCGGGGCGACUCCACGCUCUUCGUACAACUUGGAGCUGGUGCGGAUGAUAUGCGAGCAGUUGCUACUCCUAUUUCAGCCGGCUGGACCCUGCAUACCUAAGGACGCAUCCUUCGACCCGCUCUACAUCAACAACUGGUUCCAAACUUUGGUUAGACGCUUUGACGAAGAAUCGAGCGACAGGACGCUAGUCAUACUGAUCGACGACUUGCACAGACUGAACCCACUCGAUUCGGACAUCGUCGCUGCUCUUUCAUGGCUACCGAUCAAUCUGCCUAAGAACGUGCAUAUCGUCGUGACGUCCGUCCUAACACCUGAUGUUCUAAAGUUGACACCCGUUCAAAGGGAAAGGUUCAAAUCUUCCGACUGUUUGUUUGAGCUGCCCUCUGUUAAAGGAGAUUUGGAGAAAGAUAUAGAAGAGAAGCUGGAACGUUUGGAGGCGGAGUUCGGAUCGGAGGCAAUCUCUCGUCUUGGAGCUUUUCUCACCGCGACCGAGUUCGGGCUUACCGAAGUGGAGUUGCUGGAACUUUUAAUGCCGACGUCUAGCGACAACGGGCCUCUUCUACUCAGUGACGGCUUCUUCAACUUCUCGACGUUCUGCACAGUGAAAAGGAAAAUAAUUGCGGAAUCUCUUAUUUUUGAAAAAUUCAUGAGCGGAAGGAUUUUACUAUGUUGGAAAUACGAGAUGAACGGAAAAGUGGCCAGGAAAAGAUACCUACAAAGCCAGGAUCUCACAAGAUCGAUCCAUGCUGAAAUUGCCAACCUUUUUUUCAGCGCUUUCAGCAAUCAAGAUGAACAGCUUGAAGAAUCUGAUCAUUCCGCCGAAGGUGAGAAGCAGACACCUUUCCAGUCUCAUCUGCAUGUUACGGACGUCACCUACAGCCUCCGUCAUGUUGAAGAAUCAUGGAUCCAUUUGCUUAAAGCGGGUGACAGUUCGAGGCUGAAACAAAUGACGUUCUGCAACUUCGACUUUCUGCUUGCAGCAGUGAGAACGAUUUCUGUCAGUUAUUUAAGAUCCAUUCUCGAACACGUGCGGUGUUAUCUACUCGACAGAGAUAUAGAGUUAGUAUAUUAUACUGUGAGAAAAUCCAGCGAUGUGCUUACAAGGGAUACUUUACAAUUAGGAGCUCAAGUGAUCUGUUGGUUAAGACCAGUUGCAGAAACGAGCGGGCAGUUAAUGAGCAGGAUGAUCAUGUCUGCAAUGGCUUGGUGCGACGGAUUUACAGAUCCACUGUUGGUUCCUCUCAACAGCUGGCUCCUCCCGCCGCUCCCUCUUCAGAUCAAAAGUGUUGUCUGUCCUAACGGUGUACGCCUAAUCGAGCCGACUCCCACGGCUCAGCACGUCGUGCUAAUUCCAAAUAACGGAGACCCUCAGAUCUGGCACGUAAUGUCAAACGCUCUUGUACAUACUUUCAAAGGACACAGUGGAAGGGUUUUGUGUCUUGCGAUUACGAAGCAAUCACAAUAUUUAAUUACCGGUUCUGAAGAUACUUCAAUAAUCGUGUGGGACUUAAAAACUUUAGAAAUCAAGUUAAGGCUGUUCGAACACAUUGCUCCAGUGCUUUCUGUGACGCCAGCAUUGAACAACACGCUUCUUGUGAGCGGAGGUGAAGAUUCUAGGAUAAUCGUGUCUUCUUUGGUCACUGGUGAAGUAGUCGUUAAAAUUGACCAUCACAGGGGCCCGGUUACGGCCGUCAACGUCACACUCCAGGGAGACAUUCUCGUUUCCGGUUCGUCGGAUAAAUCCGUUUGCCUAUGGGAGUUGGAGACGUUCACCCUUCUGAACACGAUCGUCGUAGCUUCUCCGGUCUCUAUGCUAUCGAUAACGGACGAUUCCGUUUUUCUUCUUGUUGCUUGCGAGGACAAUCAGCUUUACCUACACACUCUCGCCACAGGGACUGAAAUCCACACGCUGAGGGGUCAUAAAGCAAAAGUCGUAUCGAUUACGCUAGCUGGUGAUAAUCAAAGAGCUGUGGCAGGUGGUGCGGACGGCAGAGUCUACGUAUUCGACAUGCACAGCGGAUGUCUCGUGAGGACCAUUUCCACAAGCCACAACGGUGAAGUGACCGGGGUCAAAGUGACAAACAACGACGACUUCUUGAUAACUGCUGGUGGAAACAGAAUAACUUUCUGGAGCUUCCGGAAAGAGGACGGCGUUGGCGUAGACGACGCAGUACAACCGAUGAGUGGUAAAGCGCAAAACCAAGCGCAAAGGCUGCACACAGCACCCAUCACCUGUUGCGAUAUUUCCAGGGACGGCAUUACAAGUGUUACAGGAUCGAUGGAUUGUUUGGUAAACGUCUGGCAGCUGAACACUCACGAGUUACAUUCGACGAUGGAAGGCCACACCGGCACAGUGACAUGCGUGGCUAUAUCACCCAACGGAAUAUUCGCCAUUUCCGGCUCCGAAGACAAAACGGCGAGGGUUUGGGGCUUGACGCUCGGCAUGGUUGCUACAGUUUUCAAGGGCCACCAGGCGACCGUGACGGCCGUGGCAGUGCUCGCCGACAGCAGGCGAGUCGUGUCAAGCGACAGGCAGAACGUCUUCACCGUCUGGUUAGCGGACAACGCGACCCUUCUGCACACCGCUUUGGGCCCGACGACAUACAUGGCCAUAUCAAACGACAUGAAAUAUGUCGUCAGCGGGGACGGCGACAAUACAGUGAGAAUCUGGCCGGCCACGCCCCACAGAGACGACGAGCGUUUUAACGUAAGCCACAGCGAAGAAAUAACGUGUUUUGUUAUCACCAUCGACUCUUUACACGUGAUCACCGGGUCGCGAGAUAUGUCUCUCAAAGUAUGGCAAGUCGCUGGAGGAAAGCUGACGCAAGUGUUAGUAGGACAUACGGAUCAAGUUACUUGCGUGGCCGUAGCAAUAGAAAACAAGACCAUUGUCGUUUCUGGAUCGAAAGACUCAAAUCUAAUUGUUUGGGACAUGAUCACUGGUGAUGAUCUCCAUUUGCUCCAAGGCCAUUUGGGAUACGUGACCUGUGUAAAAUUGGCGGGAGACGGAAGCAUCGCGGUCUCGGGAUCCGAAGAUAAAAGGAUAAUAGUUUGGGACACAAAGAAAGGGGUUCCGCUGACCUCCCUUCAACUCCAUCAACCGAUACUGGGCUUUGUUAUGUCGACCGACGCUACAAGAGUAGCGGUCCACCUCCUUGAAAGUAAACAUCUGCCGAUAAUAUGCUUACACAACACUCCUGCGACCUACGUCAAAAUGCCCGUGUACGUUGCUCCGGCUAAGGAAAUCGAAGAUUUGCGGCCGAACGCGCCCAAGAGACCUAUGAGGAGGCUGUUAAAGAAAGAGGUAUCUCUCGACACUUACACAUGGCAGAGGAAAUACGGACAUUUAACUAGUUCCAUAAUGAAAUCAGCAGUCGACGAGAGGUUCAAAAGAAGAUUCUCGGUCUCCGCUAGCAUGGAAGAGAUAUCCAAAAUACCACAAAAAGAAAAUUUGGGCUCCCAGCAAGGUUUGGGGCCGGAGCAAGCUGCCCUGGCACAGUCACAGCAUUUUGAUCAGCUAGAAGCUCUAUGGAACAAAAGGUCCCCGCCUAGAUCCAGGCGAAUGUUUCAAUCCUUGUCAAAGCAAAACUCAAGGUCGAGUCGUAAGGAUUCUACAGAUAAUGAUGAUCAGCCUUCGCCAGUGGAGGAAGUUGCAGGAUAUUCAGGAUGACUUUUUAAUGUAGCGAAGAAGCCUUUGUUAAACAUUCUCCCAGCAGGUCCUUUAUCUAACUCGACUAAUCGUUGAUGUUCAUCACUGGAUUUGUACUCUUUGGGAUGACGGCAACGCCUGAUUCCACCAUGAAACGUAGCAAUACUUGUGAAGGAGAUUUUCCAUGCUUUUUUGCAAUCUCGCAUACGACAGGGUCC
Molecule: unclassified non-coding RNA, 5083 nt
Filed under: Cimex lectularius (bed bug)
Lineage: Eukaryota; Metazoa; Arthropoda; Insecta; Hemiptera; Cimicidae
Description: nACHT domain- and WD repeat-containing protein 1, transcript variant X1
Source: RNAcentral